RNAcentral lists this ribosomal RNA (492 nucleotides) under uncultured bacterium. Its description in RNAcentral is "partial 16S ribosomal RNA". It matches the Rfam family "Bacterial small subunit ribosomal RNA", at positions 28 to 507 of the family's 1533-position model. The record is from RNAcentral.
AUUGAACGCUGGCGGCAUGCUUUACACAUGCAAGUCGAACGGUAACAGGCCUUCGGGUGCUGACGAUUGGCGAACGGGUGGGUAAUGCAUCUGAACGUACCCUGAGGUGGGGGCUAAUGCAGCGUAAGCUGUGCUAAUACUGCAUGUGAUCUGAGGAUGAAAGCGGGGGACCGGGCAGCACUGUUUGGCCUCGCGCCUUUGGAGGGGCCGAUGUCGGAUUCGCUAGUUGGUGGGGUAAAGGCCUACCAAGGCGACGAUCCGUCGCUGGUCUGAGAGGACGGCGAGCCACACUGGGACGGAGGCAAGGCCGAGACGCCUACGGGAGGAAGCAGUGGGGAAUAUUGGACAAUGGGGGCGAGCCUGAUCCAGCAAUGCCGCGGGGGGGAAGAAGGACUUCGGGUUGUAGACAGCUUCUGGCAGGAGCGAAGCGGUGUCCGCUAAUACCGGGCGGUAAUGACGGUACCUGCAGAAUAAGCACCGGCUAACUACGUG